UCUUCUUCAGGAUGAGUCACACACUUUUCCUCUUUUCUAAUUCUGCAGAGACUUGGCACCUCUGUGUGAUGAAAUCCAUAUACUGGCUGUGGUAAAAGGGCUGAGCUAAACACAGAGCAGAUGAAGAGAUACAGGUAUCUUUCCAGGAGCAACUUCAUUAUCUGGGCAUGGGUAUGUACAGCUUGUGGGACCAUAAAAAAACCUCUCAGUAUAAAGGCAAAGAGCUUUCUCCUUCUGGGCAUAGAUGGAGUCAAGAGACUGAAUGAACCAUCCACAUCUUGCUGCAUUGUCUUCCAUUAUCUCUCAGUCUUUACAUCAGAAACACCAGAAGAAAACAUGGUGCAAUGCAGACCCUCCAUGUGCCACAGGCUGCUGGGAAUGACAGGACACAUUCUUCCAGGGCUGCCUGAUGUCUGCUCCAGAAGAGGGUGAUGUAAUGAAGCAGACAUCCAUGUGCACACACCAAAGCCUGGCUAGAUGCAUGUGUGCUUGGGAUUAGUAGCUGCCAGCCCUGACCUCUGCCUUCCCUGAUGGAUCAGGAUCCACUGCUCCCUACGCAGAGGGCCAGCAGAAGAGCUCCGUGCAGUGCAAGCUGCAUUUCGGCACAGUUCUGAGAACUUCUGUGGGAUGUGGGUGGGCAGAAGGUUUCGCUCAGUGGAAACAUUUAAAUUUGAGCGUGGAAACACUUUUACUGGCCAACAAGUUGUUUUCUUUUAAGCUUUCACAGACCGAGGAACAUCGUCGCAUAAUUCCAUUAGUGAAUCCAGCAAGUUUUUGUUAAAUUGCAACACCUCUUUCAGGAAGUUAUUAAACAAUGAUUUAGAGACCAAAGAUAUUACAAAUUUACCACUUCCCUUAAUGUCUUUUUCCAAUCCAUAAUUGACUCCAUUUAUUUCCACUUUGAAUUUUAGAUCUAUCUUUUAGCCAUUGAAAGUUAAUGCACUUUGCUGCCAGCUCACAGUCCUAAGACUAAUCACAAAUUUUAACAUGUGUCAGAGAUAAAAUAACUCAAAAAGUAUGAAUAAUAAUGUCUGUAUCUCUUUAAAUGCUAGUAAAAUUGAUUGGCGACCUUCAUGCCUUUCACCCACAGUGAGUAUUUGAGCUGAAGAUAGAAAUGCCAUUUCUUUGAAGGUGGUGGCUCCCUUUAACUUUGGGUUUGCUUGUCUUUCCGCAUUGCACACUGUGAUUAUCCAUCAACAGCAAUGCCAGAGGCUCUUGCAGCUUAGCAGGGGCAGCCGGGGACACGACUUUCAUCUUGUUGAAACAAAUAGGAAUAUCACAGUUCUUACAACCCUCUGAAACAUGGCAGAGACUUUGAGGUGAAUAUUUAGCGACUGGGCUAAAUAUGUGUGGGCAGUGCAAACACAAGCUGCAGCAAACAAGAGCCUUCCAGCCUUUUCUUCCAGUUGUCCUACAGAGGACCGAAAGUUGCGAGCAAUUUGCUUAUUCUUAGACCGGAGCCACCGGAGCAGGGCCUCUUCGUGUUGACUCAUGAAACCCUUUCAUGCUUAUCAGCAUACAGCUGGAUUUCCUCUGCUUUAUCACACCGCCACUUUUCCUGUAUGGCUCUCAGUUUUGUUUGGAGUUCUCUGGUCUCGCUAUUAUAUGCAGCUCUCUUUGAUGCAAUGAUAGAUCUUGCAACCGUGCUCCGUGAAAUGUGCACCUCUCCUGAGGUGCUGUAUAAUUGCAGGAUCACUCUUAUCUCAUCAAUCUUAAUGCUUUCUAAUUUUUUUGCCCUGGGGUCUUGUUUGAAGCACAGCUUAAGAUAUCCCUGAAGAUUUCCAAAUUAUUUUAUUGGAAUUCUUUAGAGUUUUUCAUGUUGAGCUUUUAAUAAAGCAAAACAUUGAGGAUUAAUGUCUACUCA
Molecule: long non-coding RNA, 1864 nt
Organism: Junco hyemalis (dark-eyed junco)
Lineage: Eukaryota; Metazoa; Chordata; Aves; Passeriformes; Passerellidae
Source: Ensembl